RNAcentral lists this ribosomal RNA (485 nucleotides) under uncultured bacterium. Its description in RNAcentral is "partial 16S ribosomal RNA". It matches the Rfam family "Bacterial small subunit ribosomal RNA", at positions 28 to 523 of the family's 1533-position model. The record is from RNAcentral.
GAUGAACGCUGGCGGCGUGCUUAACACAUGCAAGUCGAACGGAAAGGCCUCAGCUUGCUGGGGUACUCGAGUGGCGAACGGGUGAGUAACACGUGGGUGAUCUGCCCUGCACUUUGGGAUAAGCUUGGGAAACUGGGUCUAAUACCGAAUAUGACCACUUCUUGGAUGUUGUGGUGGAAAGCUUUUGCGGUGUGGGAUGAGCCUGCGGCCUAUCAGCUUGUUGGUGGGGUAAUGGCCUACCAAGGCGGCGACGGGUAUCCGGCCUGAGAGGGUGUACGGAAACAUUGGGACUGAGAUACGGCCCAGACUCCUACGGGAGGCAGCAGUGGGGAAUAUUGCACAAUGGGCGCAAGCCUGAUGCAGCGACGCCGCGUGGGGGAUGAAGGCCUUCGGGUUGUAAACUCCUUUCGCUAUCGACGAAGCCUUUUAGGUGACGGUAAGUAGAUAAGAAGCACCGGCUAACUACGUGCCAGCAGCCGCCAUAA